UAAUUGGAUAGAGCAUUAUUUAUGGACCUG
RNAcentral lists this non-coding RNA (30 nucleotides) under Rattus norvegicus (Norway rat). The record is from RNAcentral. Lineage: Eukaryota; Metazoa; Chordata; Mammalia; Rodentia; Muridae.